AAUCUUUUUUUUGCAGAGAGCAGAGCAAAGUCCCCUGUGGGAUGCUUCCACUUGGAAUGCAGGAAGGUUCUCUUAGAAGCAGAGUUCUAAAGUGAGCCAGCUCUGGAGGCAGAGGGAAGCUCAGCCAGUGCUGCUUGCUUCAACUGCCACUCCCAGCAAUUGCGUGCAACAACCUCUUUGGCACCAAUAAUCUGAACACCUGAGUAGUCAGAGAGGGCUGCAGUGUGCCAAUUCCAGAGCAGUGAGUUAAAUAAAGUACAGCAAUCAUGGCAAGUGUCACUUCAAAGAGGUGAUGCUACUGUCACUCAUUUCUAUAAUGUGGAGUAAGGGUGGGCACCGGCAGGGCUAGGUACAUAGGACAAGAAGAAUCCUCUUGCCCCACAUCAUUCAAGGCUCUGCAGAUUUGAUAAAGGAAUUUAAAAAGGUAUUUGGAGUGUUCUCCUGAGAAGGUGGGAAAUAUGGUUUUAAGCCCUUUGCACCAUCAUUGUUGUAACUCUGCAUAACAGAGACUGGCACACUUCUCCAUGACUGAGGGGCAGACAGCACUUCUACCACUCACAAACAUCAGCUACUCACAAGAGCUGAUUUAGUCACCUAUAUCCACAGUGAGCAGCUGAACUUUGGCACUGCAGACACACACAGCAGGUAUUCCUGUCUGGGUGAAGGUCACAUUGCUAGCAUAUUACACUACUUCGUUUAAACAGCUGCAGUAGGUGGGGAAUAAUCAAUGGUUUGACAUCAAACAUUUAACACAUUUUUGAGUGCUCUUAUAGAAAAAAAAUUAUAAGAAGAGUGCUUUUGAAAGAAU
This 808-nucleotide long non-coding RNA is filed under the name Gallus gallus (chicken). RNAcentral's name for it is "long non-coding RNA NONGGAT004368". The record is from RNAcentral. Lineage: Eukaryota; Metazoa; Chordata; Aves; Galliformes; Phasianidae.